GAUGAGCCAAGAUUGGCACCCUUUAAGGUGCUAGCAAGUAUUAAACUGAAGAGUUUGAUCAUGGCUCAGAUUGAACGCUGGCGGCAGGCUUAACACAUGCAAGUCGAGCGGAGAGAUGUAGCUUGCUACUGAUCUUAGCGGCGGACGGGUGAGUAAUGCUUAGGAAUCUGCCUAUUAGUGGGGGACAACAUUCCGAAAGGAAUGCUAAUACCGCAUACGCCCUACGGGGGAAAGCAGGGGAUCAUUAGACCUUGCGCUAAUAGAUGAGCCUAAGUCGGAUUAGCUAGUUGGUGGGGUAAAGGCCUACCAAGGCGACGAUCUGUAGCGGGUCUGAGAGGAUGAUCCGCCACACUGGGACUGAGACACGGCCCAGACUCCUACGGGAGGCAGCAGUGGGGAAUAUUGGACAAUGGGGGGAACCCUGAUCCAGCCAUGCCGCGUGUGUGAAGAAGGCCUUUUGGUUGUAAAGCACUUUAAGCGAGGAGGAGGCUACUCUGGUUAAUACCCAGGGAUAGUGGACGUUACUCGCAGAAUAAGCACCGGCUAACUCUGUGCCAGCAGCCGCGGUAAUACAGAGGGUGCGAGCGUUAAUCGGAUUUACUGGGCGUAAAGCGUACGUAGGCGGCUUUUUAAGUCGGAUGUGAAAUCCCUGAGCUUAACUUAGGAAUUGCAUUCGAUACUGGGAAGCUAGAGUAUGGGAGAGGAUGGUAGAAUUCCAGGUGUAGCGGUGAAAUGCGUAGAGAUCUGGAGGAAUACCGAUGGCGAAGGCAGCCAUCUGGCCUAAUACUGACGCUGAGGUACGAAAGCAUGGGGAGCAAACAGGAUUAGAUACCCUGGUAGUCCAUGCCGUAAACGAUGUCUACUAGCCGUUGGGGCCUUUGAGGCUUUAGUGGCGCAGCUAACGCGAUAAGUAGACCGCCUGGGGAGUACGGUCGCAAGACUAAAACUCAAAUGAAUUGACGGGGGCCCGCACAAGCGGUGGAGCAUGUGGUUUAAUUCGAUGCAACGCGAAGAACCUUACCUGGUCUUGACAUAGUAAGAACUUUCCAGAGAUGGAUUGGUGCCUUCGGGAACUUACAUACAGGUGCUGCAUGGCUGUCGUCAGCUCGUGUCGUGAGAUGUUGGGUUAAGUCCCGCAACGAGCGCAACCCUUUUCCUUAUUUGCCAGCACUUCGGGUGGGAACUUUAAGGAUACUGCCAGUGACAAACUGGAGGAAGGCGGGGACGACGUCAAGUCAUCAUGGCCCUUACGACCAGGGCUACACACGUGCUACAAUGGUCGGUACAAAGGGUUGCUACCUAGCGAUAGGAUGCUAAUCUCAAAAAGCCGAUCGUAGUCCGGAUUGGAGUCUGCAACUCGACUCCAUGAAGUCGGAAUCGCUAGUAAUCGCGGAUCAGAAUGCCGCGGUGAAUACGUUCCCGGGCCUUGUACACACCGCCCGUCACACCAUGGGAGUUUGUUGCACCAGAAGUAGGUAGUCUAACCGUAAGGAGGACGCUUACCACGGUGUGGCCGACGACUGGGGUGAAGUCGUAACAAGGUAGCCGUAGGGGAACCUGCGGCUGGAUCACCUCCUUAA
RNAcentral lists this ribosomal RNA (1580 nucleotides) under Acinetobacter sp. WCHAc010052. RNAcentral describes it as "bacterial SSU rRNA". It matches the Rfam family "Bacterial small subunit ribosomal RNA". The record is from RNAcentral. Lineage: Bacteria; Pseudomonadati; Pseudomonadota; Gammaproteobacteria; Moraxellales; Moraxellaceae.